GUGUUACUGUUGAAUAGAGCUCGCUUUGGAGCAAAAUGGAACCACUCGAGCUUGUUGUAGCCGUCCCCGCCACCGUCAGAACAUGCAGAUCCUCUAGCUCGUCAUGAUCAGCACCGGAGCUAGCUCCAUCACGGCACUCCCCUCGCCCGCCUAUGAAUAGAGUACCCCCGAGCCACUCUCCAACCCAGCACCACUCGACCACACUGCAGUGCCACACCGAGCCUCUCGGAGGGCAUCGGGAGGGUAUUCUUCCCCGUGUCUAGCCACCCUGAUCCACCUCGGGCUCCGACUAAAUUAGCCCUAGUGAGCGUCUCUCCGGCGGGAUUAACGUGCACCGGAAGCCGGCGUCCGCUAGAGUGGAAGUUGCCGUCGACGUGGUGCUUGCAGACGACCCCUUCCACUACCCACCCUCGCAGAAGGUCCCUGUUUACAUCAAGUGGGAGAAUGCCAGCAGAUGGAAUUCUGGACCUGAAAAAGCUACGUAACAGAUACCUAUUUUGCACAUCUCCAAUUGGUCUAAAAAUUUAUUGAGAUCUAUUUUAUAACAAAUAAAAAAUAUUGGAGCGAAGAAGUACGGGACGGGGGCUACCUAGUGCCCACUAGACACUAGGGAACGUGACGCCCCCUAGCGCAGCUUGACGUCUAGUGGCCCCCUUGGCACACCUCUGGCGAUCAUCUUCUGGUAUAAAUACUCCUUUCCCCUGAAAAUUAAAGAGGAGGAUUUUCGGGACGAAGCGUCGCCGUCUUGAGGUGGAACUUGGGCAGGAGAACAUUUGCCCUCCGGUGGAGCGAUUCCACCGAAGGAACUUCCCUCUCAAAGGGGGAAAUCAAUGCCAUCGUCAUCACCAACAACCCUAUAAUCUUGGGGAGGCCAAUAUCCAUCAACAUCUUCAUCAUCACCAUCUCCUCUAAAAACCCUAGUUAAUCUCUUUGACUCUAUCUUGUACCGGAACCUCGGAUUGGUACCUGGGGUGUGACUAGUAGUGUUGAUUACAUCUUUAGUUG
Long non-coding RNA from Hordeum vulgare subsp. vulgare (domesticated barley), 1005 nucleotides. RefSeq lists it as uncharacterized. The record is from RefSeq and is a predicted model, not a curated record. The transcript is spliced from 3 exons. Lineage: Eukaryota; Viridiplantae; Streptophyta; Magnoliopsida; Poales; Poaceae.